UACGUAGGGGGCAAGCGUUGUUCGGAAUAACUGGGCGUAAAGGGCGCGUAGGCGGGCUGUCAAGUCUGGGGUGAAAUGCCACGGCUCAACCGUGGAACUGCCUCAGAUACUGACGGCCUCGAGGGAGGUAGGGGCGUGCGGAACUGUAGGUGGAGCGGUGAAAUGCGUUGAUAUCUACAGGAACUCCGGUGGCGAAAGCGGCGCGCUGGACCUCUUCUGACGCUGAGGCGCGAAAGCUAGGGGAGCAAACGGG
Molecule: ribosomal RNA, 253 nt
Filed under: uncultured bacterium
Lineage: Bacteria
Description: partial 16S ribosomal RNA
Rfam family: Bacterial small subunit ribosomal RNA
Source: RNAcentral